Molecule: ribosomal RNA, 252 nt
Filed under: uncultured bacterium
Lineage: Bacteria
Description: partial 16S ribosomal RNA
Rfam family: Bacterial small subunit ribosomal RNA
Source: RNAcentral
ACGGAGGGGGCUAGCGUUGUUCGGAAUUACUGGGCGUAAAGAGCACGUAGGCGGUAGAUCAAGUUAGGCGUGAAAGCCCUAGGCUCAACCUAGGAACUGCGUUUAAUACUGGUCAACUAGAGGCCGGGAGAGGGUGGUGGAAUUCCCAGUGUAGAGGUGAAAUUCGUAGAUAUUGGGAGGAACACCAGUGGCGAAGGCGGCCACCUGGACCGGUUCUGACGCUGAGGUGCGAAAGCGUGGGGAGCAAACAGG